AAUAACAGCCAUAUCCCUCUGCAGCCCAAGACCAGUUCUCACUGAAGCUAAGCAAGGCUAAGCCUGGUCAGUACCUGGAUGGGAGACCUCAUGGGAAAACUAGGUUGCUAUUUGAA
This 116-nucleotide ribosomal RNA is filed under the name Danio rerio (zebrafish). Lineage: Eukaryota; Metazoa; Chordata; Actinopteri; Cypriniformes; Danionidae. The record is from RNAcentral.